UACGUUCAUAUCACGUUGAAAUACCUAUACUCGUUCGAUCACCGAAGUCAAGCAACUUUAAGCCUGGUCAGCACUAAGAUGGGUGACCGUUUAGGGAAUACGAGAUG
Non-coding RNA from Acanthosepion pharaonis, 107 nucleotides. Lineage: Eukaryota; Metazoa; Mollusca; Cephalopoda; Sepiida; Sepiidae. The record is from the annotation of a GenBank genome assembly.